UACAGAGGUCCCAAGCGUUGUUCGGAUUCACUGGGCGUAAAGGGUGCGUAGGCGGCCGGGCAAGUUUGAUGUGAAAGCUCGGAGCUUAACUCCGAAAUGGCAUUGGAUACUAUUCGGCUGGAGGGUCGGAGGGGAGACUGGAAUUCUCGGUGUAGCAGUGAAAUGCGUAGAUAUCGAGAGGAACACCAGUGGCGAAGGCGAGUCUCUGGACGACAUCUGACACUGAGGCACGAAAGCUAGGGGAGCAAACAGG
This 253-nucleotide ribosomal RNA is filed under the name uncultured bacterium. RNAcentral's name for it is "partial 16S ribosomal RNA". It matches the Rfam family "Bacterial small subunit ribosomal RNA", at positions 524 to 776 of the family's 1533-position model. The record is from RNAcentral.